RNAcentral lists this ribosomal RNA (253 nucleotides) under uncultured bacterium. RNAcentral describes it as "partial 16S ribosomal RNA". It matches the Rfam family "Bacterial small subunit ribosomal RNA", at positions 524 to 776 of the family's 1533-position model. The record is from RNAcentral.
UACGUAGGGGGCUAGCGUUGUCCGGAAUCAUUGGGCGUAAAGAGCGUGUAGGCGGCCCGGUAAGUCCGCUGUGAAAGUCGGGGGCUCAACCCUCGAAUGCCGGUGGAUACUGUCGGGCUAGAGUGCGGAAGAGGCGAGUGGAAUUCCUAGUGUAGCGGUGAAAUGCGCAGAUAUCAGGAAGAACACCAACGGCGAAGGCAGCUCGCUGGGACGGUACUGACGCUGAGACGCGAAAGCGUGGGGAGCGAACAGG